GACGAACCGUGCGAACGUUGUUCGGAUUCACUGGGCUUAAAGGGCGCGUAGGCGGCUUGCCAAGUCAGGGGUGAAAUCUUUCGGCUCAACCGGAAAACAGCUUCUGAUACUGGCGGGCUUGAGGGAGGUAGGGGCGGAUGGAACUUCCGGUGGAGCGGUGAAAUGCGUAGAUAUCGGAAGGAACGCCGGUGGCGAAAGCGAUCCGCUGGACCUCCUCUGACGCUGAGGCGCGAAAGCCAGGGGAGCAAACGGG
RNAcentral lists this ribosomal RNA (253 nucleotides) under uncultured bacterium. Its description in RNAcentral is "partial 16S ribosomal RNA". It matches the Rfam family "Bacterial small subunit ribosomal RNA", at positions 524 to 776 of the family's 1533-position model. The record is from RNAcentral.